UGGCGUCCUGCGCAGCUUCCUGGAGCCACGUCUCCUCAGGACCUGCCAGGGCUUCAGGACAACAGGGGAUUAUGUCCACGCUGAUAGGAACCCAGUCUCCUCAGGACCCAACAGGAGGUGCUGCACUGAAGGGAAGGUCGUGCACAGGAUCCAAGACUUGCUGGCUACGGGUACACUCAUCCCACAGUGCCUCUUAAUAACAAGUGGACUCCUACAAGGGCGAUGAGCAUCACACCUCUGGCUGACCUCGGUCUGGGUGCACGUGUCUCACUGGGGGGUUUGGCUCCUGUGGGAACUUGGCUCCUUGCGGGGCUGGUGG
This is a non-coding RNA of Vicugna pacos (alpaca), 319 nucleotides long. The record is from RefSeq and is a predicted model, not a curated record. NCBI's taxonomy places the organism in Eukaryota, Metazoa, Chordata, Mammalia, Artiodactyla, Camelidae.